RNAcentral lists this ribosomal RNA (463 nucleotides) under uncultured bacterium. Its description in RNAcentral is "bacterial SSU rRNA". It matches the Rfam family "Bacterial small subunit ribosomal RNA", at positions 1066 to 1529 of the family's 1533-position model. The record is from RNAcentral.
UGUGAAAUGUUGGGUUAAGUCCCGCAACGAGCGCAACCCUUAUCCUUUGUUGCCAGCGGUCCGGCCGGGAACUCAAAGGAGACUGCCAGUGAUAAACUGGAGGAAGGUGGGGAUGACGUCAAGUCAUCAUGGCCCUUACGACCAGGGCUACACACGUGCUACAAUGGCGCAUACAAAGAGAAGCGACCUCGCGAGAGCAAGCGGACCUCAUAAAGUGCGUCGUAGUCCGGAUUGGAGUCUGCAACUCGACUCCAUGAAGUCGGAAUCGCUAGUAAUCGUGGAUCAGAAUGCCACGGUGAAUACGUUCCCGGGCCUUGUACACACCGCCCGUCACACCAUGGGAGUGGGUUGCAAAAGAAGUAGGUAGCUUAACCUUCGGGAGGGCGCUUACCACUUUGUGAUUCAUGACUGGGGUGAAGUCGUAACAAGGUAACCGUAGGGGAACCUGCGGCUGGAUCACCUC